Molecule: unclassified non-coding RNA, 727 nt
Filed under: Athalia rosae (coleseed sawfly)
Lineage: Eukaryota; Metazoa; Arthropoda; Insecta; Hymenoptera; Athaliidae
Description: misc RNA ENSAEAG00005000798.1
Source: RNAcentral
CGGUAUAUGUAAGAUAUGUAUAAUUAUGAAAAUAUCGGAGCAUGAAAACGACAAAUUUUGGAUAAACCACAUCACGAUAGAUCGCCGCUCUUCUUACUCUCAUGCAGUGACAUAAUAUGGCGAUAUAGGGCAUACGGUAAGUAAGAAAAAAAUCAUCAGCUACAACCUACUACGGUCGCGAAUGACUCGAAUGAGCCCGCAUAACGUGUAGCAUAACAGUUACGGGUCAAAACGAACACGUGGGAAUCUAUUUGAUUUGAAAUUUUAAUGGUGAUUUUAUAGGUGGGGAUUCACCACGAUUAUUUGCGAUUUGGUACAAUCGCAAAAGCUAUAAUAAGGGGUACAGAAAUCUGCGGUACAUUUGGCUAACAGUGUCCAACCGGCCAGCAUCAGUCGUCGUGUUGUGUACUACAGUGAACAGUAAAGUAUUUUUAAUCUGGAGGACGGUUACGCAGGCAUCAAAGAUCGCUCUUCUCUUCGGGCUAAUCUAUCUGGUUAGCGGCAGAGUCAUCAACAGCUCUUUUCAACCACUUGGAAAACCUCGAACUACAUCGAGAAGCAACGAAUUGAUUGAUCAGCAAAAUUCACGAACGAGUGAUCAAGGAGCAAACAGAAAAGAAAGACUAUCCUUAGCAGAGUUCUCGACUUAUAGUUUGAAGGAACCAAAUGGACCCGGAACGUACGCUUUUGGCUACGAUAACGUGUUUGACGCGUUUGGCAAUCAACA